UUCUAAGUUUGUUGCCUCAGAUCUGUGAC
RNAcentral lists this non-coding RNA (29 nucleotides) under Rattus norvegicus (Norway rat). Lineage: Eukaryota; Metazoa; Chordata; Mammalia; Rodentia; Muridae. The record is from RNAcentral.